Molecule: ribosomal RNA, 468 nt
Filed under: uncultured bacterium
Lineage: Bacteria
Description: partial 16S ribosomal RNA
Rfam family: Bacterial small subunit ribosomal RNA
Source: RNAcentral
GACGAACGCUGGCGGCGUGCUUAACACAUGCAAGUCGAACGGAAAGGCCCUGCUUUUGUGGGGUGCUCGAGUGGCGAACGGGUGAGUAACACGUGAGUAACCUGCCCUUGACUUUGGGAUAACUUCAGGAAACUGGGGCUAAUACCGGAUAGGAGCUCCUGCUGCAUGGUGGGGGUUGGAAAGUUUCGGCGGUUGGGGAUGGACUCGCGGCUUAUCAGCUUGUUGGUGGGGUAGUGGCUUACCAAGGCUUUGACGGGUAGCCGGCCUGAGAGGGUGACCGGCCACAUUGGGACUGAGAUACGGCGCAGACGCCUACGGGAGGCAGCAGGGGGGAAUAUGGCGCAGUGGGCGGAAGCCUGAUGCAGCAGCGCCGCGAGCGGGAUGACGGCCUUCGGGUUGUAAACCGCUUUCGCCUGUGACGAAGCGUGAGUGACGGUAAUGGGUAAAGAAGCACCGGCUAACUACGUG